UUCCGGUUGAUCCCGCCGGACCCGAUUGUAGCGGGGUAAGGCUGAGCCAUGCGAGUCUAGGGCUCCAGGCUAAGGUGGGGCCCGGCGCACGGCUGAGUAACACGUAGCUAACCUACCCUCAGGAGGGGGAUAACCCCGGGAAACUGGGGUUAAACCCCCAUAGGCGAGGAUGCCUGGAAUCGGAUCCUCGCCGAAAGGGCUUCUAGACCAUGCCUCUAGAAGCCGCCUGAGGAUGGGGCUGCGGCCCAUCAGGUAGUUGGCGGGGUAACGGCCCGCCAAGCCUAUAACGGGUAGGGGCCGUGAGAGCGGGAGCCCCCAGAUGGGCCCUGAGACAAGGGCCCAGGCCCUACGGGGCGCAGCAGGCGCGAAAACUCCGCUAUGCGCGAAAGCGCGACGGGGUUACCCCGAGUGCCUCCCGCUGAGGGGGGCUUUUCCCCAGUGUAAACAGCUGGGGGAAUAAGGGGAGGGCAAGCCUGGUGUCAGCCGCCGCGGUAAUACCAGCUCCCCGAGUGGUCGGGACGAUUAUUGGGCCUAAAGCGUCCGUAGCCGGCCUGGUAAGUCCCCUGUUAAAUCCGGCGAUCCAAUCGCCGGGCUGCAGGGGAUACUGCCGGGCUAGGGGGUGGGGGAGGCCGACGGUAUUCCCGGGGGAGGAGUAAAAUCCUCAGAUCCCGGGAGGACCACCAGUGGCGAAGGCGGUCGGCUGGAACACGCCCGACGGUGAGGGACGAAAGCUGGGGGAGCGAGCCGGAUUAGAGACCCGGGUAGUCCCAGCUGUAAACCAUGCGGGCUAGGUGUCGGAUCGGCUAAGAGCCGAUCCGGUGCCGAAUGGAAGCAACUAAGCCCGCCGCCUGGGGAGUACGGCCGCAAGGCUGAAACUUAAAGGAAUUGGCGGGGGGGCACCACAAGGGGUGGAUGCUGCGGUUUAAUUGGAGUCAACGCCGGA
Molecule: ribosomal RNA, 943 nt
Filed under: uncultured archaeon
Lineage: Archaea
Description: bacterial SSU rRNA
Rfam family: Archaeal small subunit ribosomal RNA
Source: RNAcentral